AGCGAAAGCGAGUCUGAAUAGGGCGUGCAGUAUGAGGUCGUCGACCCGAAACCAGGUGACCUACCCAUGUGCAGGGUGAAGGUGCGGUGAAACGCACUGGAGGCCCGAACCCACGUAUGUUGAAAAAUGCGGGGAUGACGUGUGGGUAGCGGUGAAAUUCCAAUCGAACCUGGAGAUAGCUGGUUCUCUCCGAAAUAGCUUUAGGGCUAGCCUCGGAUGAUGCAUCGUGGAGGUAGAGCGACUGUUUGGACGAGGGCCCCUUGCGGGGUACCGAAUCCUGAUAAACUCCGAAUGCCACAGAUGUUAAUCCGGGAGUCACACUGCGAGUGAUAAGAUCCGUAGUGGAAAGGGAAACAACCCAGACCGUCGGCUAAGGUCCCCAAAUCCUUGUUAAGUGGAAAAGGAUGUGGGGCUGCUUAGACAACUAGGAUGUUGGCUUAGAAGCAGCCAUCAUUUAAAGAGUGCGUAAUAGCUCACUAGUCGAGUGGCCCUGCGCCGAAAAUUUACCGGGGCUAAACAAGGUACCGAAGCCACGGAUAGAACCUUUGGUUCUAUGGUAGGAGAGCGUUCUAAUCAGCAUAGAAGCCUGACUGUGAAGACAGGUGGAGCGAUUAGAAGUGAGAAUGCCGGUAUGAGUAGCGAAAGACAGGUGAGAAUCCUGUCCACCGAAUGACUAAGGUUUCCUGGGGAAGGCUCGUCCUCCCAGGGUUAGUCGGGACCUAAGCUGAGGCCGAACGGCGUAGGCGAUGGUCAACAGGUUGAUAUUCCUGUACCAGUUUCUUUUGUUUGACCGAUGGAGGGACGCAGCAGGCUAAGAUAUGCCCACU
Molecule: ribosomal RNA, 827 nt
Filed under: Dolosigranulum pigrum
Lineage: Bacteria; Bacillati; Bacillota; Bacilli; Lactobacillales; Carnobacteriaceae
Description: bacterial LSU rRNA
Rfam family: Bacterial large subunit ribosomal RNA
Source: RNAcentral